Molecule: ribosomal RNA, 383 nt
Filed under: uncultured bacterium
Lineage: Bacteria
Description: bacterial SSU rRNA
Rfam family: Bacterial small subunit ribosomal RNA
Source: RNAcentral
AAUCAACGCUGGCGGCGUGCCUCAGACAUGCAAGUCGAACGCGAAAGUUCCCUUCGGGGAGCAAGUAGAGUGGCGCACGGGUGAGUAACACGUAGGUAAUUUGCCUUCGGGUGGGGAAGUAACAGUCGGAACGACUGCGUAAUACCGCAUAAUGCAGCGGCUCGACAUCGAGACAGUUGUUAAAGCGGGGGAUCCUUCGGGACCUCGCGCCUGAAGAGAAGCCUGCGGCAGAUUAGCUAGUUGGUGAGGUAAUGGCCCACCAAGGCUACGAUCUGUAACCGGCCUGAGAGGGCGGUCGGUCACACUGACACUGACAUACGGGUCAGACUCCUACGGGAGGCAGCAGUCGGGAAUUUUGGGCAAUGGGCGCAAGCCUCGACCCA